CGCUGGCGGCAUGCCUUACACAUGCAAGUCGAACGGCAGCACGGGGGCAACCCUGGUGGCGAGUGGCGAACGGGUGAGUAAUACAUCGGAACGUGUCCAGUAGUGGGGGAUAGCCCGGCGAAAGCCGGAUUAAUACCGCAUACGAUCUUAGGAUGAAAGCGGGGGACCGAAAGGCCUCGCGCUAUUGGGGCGGCCGAUGGCGGAUUAGCUAGUUGGUGGGGUAAAGGCUCACCAAGGCGACGAUCCGUAGCUGGUCUGAGAGGACGACCAGCCACACUGGGACUGAGACACGGCCCAGACUCCUACGGGAGGCAGCAGUGGGGAAUUUUGGACAAUGGGGGCAACCCUGAUCCAGCAAUGCCGCGUGUGUGAAGAAGGCCUUCGGGUUGUAAAGCACUUUUGUCCGGAAAGAAAUCUUCAGCCCUAAUACGGCGGGAGGAUGACGGUACCGGAAGAAUAAGCACCGGCUAACUACGUGCCAGCAGCCGCGGUAAUACGUAGGGUCCAAGCGUUAAUCGGAAUUACUGGGCGUAAAGCGUGCGCAGGCGGUUGUGCAAGACCGAUGUGAAAUCCCCGGGCUUAACCUGGGAAUUGCAUUG
RNAcentral lists this ribosomal RNA (599 nucleotides) under bacterium enrichment culture clone F44x_E6_T3_A07. RNAcentral's name for it is "bacterial SSU rRNA". It matches the Rfam family "Bacterial small subunit ribosomal RNA", at positions 34 to 628 of the family's 1533-position model. The record is from RNAcentral.